GAUGAACGCUGGCGGCGUGCCUAAUACAUGCCAGUCGAGCGAACGGACGAGAAGUUUGCUUCUCUGAUGUUAGCGGCGGACGGGUGAGUAACACGUGGAUAACCUACCUAUAAGACUGGGAUAACCUCGGGAAACCGGAGCUAAUACCGGAUAAUAUUUUGAACCGCAUGGUUCAAAAGUGAAAGACGGUCUUGCUGUCACUUAUAGAUGGUUCCGCGCUGCUUUAGCUAGUUGGUAAGGUAACGGCUUACCAAGGCGACGAUGCGUAGCCGACCUGAGAGGGUGAUCGGCCACACUGGAACUGAGACACGGUCCAGACUCCUACGGGAGGCAGCAGUAGGGAAUCUUCCGCAAUGGGCGAAAGCCUGACGGAGCAACGCCGCGUGAGUGAUGAAGGUCUUCGGAUCGUAAAGCUCUGUUAUUAGGGAAGAACAGAUGUGUAAGUAACUGUGCACAUCUUGACGGUACCUAAUCAGAAAGCCACGGCUAACUACGUG
Molecule: ribosomal RNA, 497 nt
Filed under: uncultured bacterium
Lineage: Bacteria
Description: partial 16S ribosomal RNA
Rfam family: Bacterial small subunit ribosomal RNA
Source: RNAcentral